This 163-nucleotide ribosomal RNA is filed under the name uncultured bacterium. RNAcentral's name for it is "partial 16S ribosomal RNA". It matches the Rfam family "Bacterial small subunit ribosomal RNA", at positions 355 to 510 of the family's 1533-position model. The record is from RNAcentral.
UAGGGAAUCUUCCACAAUGGACGAAAGUCUGAUGGAGCAACGCCGCGUGAGUGAAGAAGGGUUUCGGCUCGUAAAACCCUGUUGUUAAAGAAGAACAUAUCUGAGAGUAACUGUUCAGGUAUUGACGGUAUUUAACCAGAAAGCCACGGCUAACUACGUGCCA